UAUUAGAUGUGUGAACUGAAACAAGAUUCUUAACAGCUUCAGUUUCUCACUCAGUAAAAUGAGACUAUUCAUAGCUACAUUUUUUAUUCUGUAUUUUUUUAUUGAUAUAUCAUAGUUGUACAAACAUUUGGAGUACAUGUGAUACUUUGAUACAUGUGUGUGAUAUACAAUGAUCAAAUCAGGGUAAUGGGGAUAUCCAUCAUCUAAAACAUUUAUCUUUUCUUUAUGUUGGGAACAUUGCAAUUCUUCUCUUCUAGUUAUUUUGAAAUACACAAUAAAUUAUUGUUAACUACAAUUUCUCUAAUAUACUAUCCAAUAUUAGAACUUACUCCUUCUAUCAAUUGUAUUUUUUUACCUAUCAACCAACUUCUCUUCAUUUCCCCCCAAUCCUAUCUACUUUAACAGUGGUUUUUGAAGAUUUAAAUGAAGCAGACUGCAUGAAAGUACCUGCGUCAGGAUUUUGCACAUAAACAGUUCUUUGGAAAUACUUUGGAAUCAACGAAUGAAUGUACGAAUUUAUUCUAACUGGCAGGAAUCUUAUGCAGAUUUCUAGCUGUUAAAGUUUUUGUUUUUUUCCAUCUCUACCUCAGAGGAAAUUUAAGUCCUCAUUAAUUCCUAAGGACAGGGUCAAUGUUUUGCAAUUCUCUAUGUCCCUGCAGCCUGUUUAAUUGGAUGGUUACCAAGAAUCAUGUGACUUUUUGACCCGGGUGAUGAUUAAUUGGUUCAAAAUUGCCGGGAACUAUUCAGUGCCAGGCAGACAUGCAGGAUUUGCAGAGGAUAAGACUUGCUUCUGCCCCUGAGAAUCUGACAGUCUUGAUACAGAUCUUUAUGCAUGCAAUUUUGGUACAUUAAGCUAAGAGGUUACCGAUGUCUGCACCCAGCAUGCUCCGAGCCAAGCCCCGGAGGAGUGUGGCUUGGGGGAAGCACACCUGAACAGAGUCUGCAGGUUUAAUGAGCAAAGAGUGGGGGUAUUUCUCAAACCUUAUUGUGCAUGUAGAUCACCUGGGGAUCCUACCCAAAGGAAGAUUCUGAUUCUGUAGGUUGGGGUGGGGCAGGGGUUCUCCUAGGUCUAUAUUUCUACCAAGCUCCCCAGGGAUACAAAUGUUGUUAGUCCGUGAACCCCAUUUAAAGAAGCAAGUCAAGGCUCACAGACUGCCAUGAGCAAAGAGGUAUAAAAACAGAUCUUGUAAAUCUCAUCUUUAACGAGCAAUAACCCAAGGCUCAGAGAGGUUAAGAAACGUGUCCAAAGUCACAUCACAUAGCCAGGAAGUGUCAGAGCCAAGACUGCAACCUGGGUCUGAGUCCCCAGGUCCUUGUUUCCUUCUCCACAUCAUGCUGCUCCUCACAAUACCACGCAGCUCCAUUGUUUCCUUAAGUCCGCAUGAAACGGGGCUACUUCUCAAGUUUGGUUUGUCAAGUACUGUUGGAAGAUAAAAUGGAAAGACUGGGGUACUCGGAUCAGGAGGCUUGGGCUCUGGUCUCACCAGUCCCUCCACUCCCUGGGUGCCUUCCCUCUCCUACCCCCACCAACAAGAGUUGUUCUGCCCCUCUGGACACUGGUUCUUCAGAUUUGAAGUGAAAAUUUGGCCUCUGGCCUUAAGGAUCUUACUAGCUACAUUUUGGGGCUCAAACGGACAUCACCACUUAUAUAAAAAUGCUGUGAAAUUGCUGAGCUAUUCCAGGGGCUGGAGGGGACUGCAUUGUCCAGCAGCAAAGAGCAGGCUGACCUUGGUGGCAAGAAACCAGACAUGAGCCACUUGGGUCUAUUUCCAGGCCUUGAAGCCAAAUGGAGCAUCCCUGGCUGGAUUUUUCUUUCCUUUUUUUUUUUUAGACAGAGUCUCACUCCACUGCCCAGGCUGGAGUGCAGUGGUGCAAUCUCGGCUCAGUGCAACCUCUGCCUCCUGGGUUCAAGUGAUUCUCCUGCCUCAGCCUCCAGAGUAGCUGGGAUUACAGGAGUGUGCCACCACACCCAGCUAAUCUUUUGUAUUUUUAGUAGAUGAGAUUUCACCACGUUGGCCAGGCUGGUCUUGAACUCCUGACCUCAAGUGAUCUGCCUGCCUCGGCCUCCCAAAGUGCUGGGAUUACAGGCAUGAGUGAGCCAUCAUGCCUGGUCCCUGCUGGAUUUUGAAGUUGCUGGGGACUGAUGACUUCUUUUUUCCGUCUAUUUCUCUCUCUCUCUCCUUUUUUUUUUUUUUUUGAGACAGUGUCACUCUGUCGCCCAGGCUGGAGUGCAGUGGCGGGAUCUCGGCUAACUGCAAGCUCCCCCUCCCGGGUUCACGCCAUUCUCCUGCCUCAGCCUCCCAAGUAGCUGGGACUAUAGGCGCCCACCACCACGCCCGGCUAAUUUUUUUGUAUUUUUAGUAGAGAUGGGGUUUCACCAUGUUAGCCAGGAUGAUCUCAAUCUCCUGAACUCGUGGUCCGCCUGCCUCGGCCUCCCAAAGUGCUGGGAUUACAGGAGUGAAACAUCACGCCUGGCUUCUCUCCCUUUUUAAAUAGGAAUGUCUAUAACUGUUAUUCUAUGCCUGUUUCACCAGUGAAUUUAGGGAGCAGAUAACUUGUUUCUUAAUUUUCACAGGUUCAUAGAGAGCAAUGUAUUCCAGGGUGGAUUAAACAUGGAGCCUCCUUUUUACCUAAUUUGAAUGGGUUAGUUUAGAUGAUGAGAUUUGGGGUGUUUAAGUUGUUAAGAUUUAGGAUUUUGACUUGAUACUGCCAUAUCCUAGGUCUUUAGGGGAUGUGGGGAUAGGGUGAUCUGUUUUGCAUUUGGGAUGGAUGUGAAUCUUUUGAGGGCCAGAGGGUGAACUCUGGUACUCUGAAUAAUGGUUCCCGAAAUAUGGCCAUGUCUUAGAUCCCUGGCAUCUGUGAAUAUAUGUUCCAUGGCAAAGAGGAAUUAAGGCAGCAGAUUGAAUUAAGUUUGCCAGUGAACUGACUUUAAUAUAGGUGAUUAUCCUAGAUUAUGAGCAGGUCUGUGUAAUCAGCAAGGAGGGCCUUUACAUGUGAAAGGGGUGGCAGAAGAGGAGAACCAAAGAGAUGGCAGGGUGAGGACUCUACCCAAUGUUGCUUCCUCCAUGUGAACAUGAAGAGGGCCACAAGCCAGGGAAAGUGGGUGGCCUCUAAAAACAGAAAAGGCAAGGAAACAGCUUCUUGCCUAGAGCCUCCAAGAUUGUAAGACAAUACAUCUAUGCUGUUUUACGUUUGUGGUAAUUUGUUAUAGCCGCUAUAGCAAAUUAAUAUAAGACCUAUCCUACAAUUUAAUGCUCUAGGAUCUUAGACUAAUCAUUUCAUCUUUGCAUUCUUUAGUAUUCUUUCUUUCUCAAAAUAACUGCUGUGAAGAUCAGACAGAACAAAUAGGCAGAAAUCCCUGGCACACAGGUGCUCAAUAAAUGUGAAUUUCUAGCUUCCCCUUUUCUUCCAGGUUGGAGAAACACAAGGAAGGGAAGCAGGAGCCACAGGCCAUUCUCAGCCUUCCUUUGAUGUGGGCUGUGUACAGGAUUCCCUCAGUAAGCUCCCCCAGCAUACCUUAUCUAGAGUGAGGGCUGCUUAUCUGCCCUCGGGGUUCCUACAGCUCCUACCUCUCUGAUGGAAAAAUCCUCUUUAGAAUACAAAAGCUCUUUAGAAGAGCCUGAGAUGAGGGUAGAGCCAGGGCCUCAUUCUGCAAACAGGCUUUCAGAGAUGAAAGAGCAGGGCAGACAUCGGUAUCUACCCUAUGACCACCACAUUUCCCACUGAAAAAAAUCAGGAGUUGGUGCGCUGAGAUGAGGCAAGCCCACUCAAAGAGGCCAGCCCGCGAUGCUUCCUUCUCCUACCCACACACCUGAGACAAACAUCUCUCAAACACUCCAGGCUUGCAAGUCCUUAAUUAGUUGUGUUACGAGCUUUUAUUUAAAAAGCACAUUUAAUACAAGUAUAGUUUCGCAGAUACAAGUUUU
RNAcentral lists this long non-coding RNA (3926 nucleotides) under Homo sapiens (human). Its description in RNAcentral is "HSALNT0007299". Lineage: Eukaryota; Metazoa; Chordata; Mammalia; Primates; Hominidae. The record is from RNAcentral.